UGGAUCCAGACUUUGAUUAUGGCUCAGGAUGAACGCUAGCUACAGGCUUAACACAUACAAGUCGAGGGGAAACGACAUCGAAAGCUUGCUUUUGAUGGGUGUCGACCGGCGCACGGGUGAGUAACGCGUAUCCAACCUGCCCAUCACUUGGGAAUAACCUUGCGAAAGUAAGACUAAUACCCAAUGAUAUCCCACGAAGGCAUCCGAAUGGGAUUAAAGAUUUAUCGGUGAUGGAUGGGGAUGCGUCUGAUUAGCUUGUUGGCGGGGUAACGGCCCACCAAGGCAACGAUCAGUAGGGGUUCUGAGAGGAAGGUCCCCCACAUUGGAACUGAGACACGGUCCAAACUCCUACGGGAGGCAGCAGUGAGGAAUAUUGGUCAAUGGGCGAGAGCCUGAACCAGCCAAGUAGCGUGCAGGACGACGGCCCUAUGGGUUGUAAACUGCUUUUAUAAGGGAAUAAAGUGAGUCUCGUGAGACUUUUUGCAUGUACCUUAUGAAUAAGGACCGGCUAAUUCCGUGCCAGCAGCCGCGGUAAUACGGAAGGUCCGGGCGUUAUCCGGAUUUAUUGGGUUUAAAGGGAGCGUAGGCUGGAGAUUAAGCGAGUUGUGAAAUGUAGAGGCUCAACCUCUGCACUGCAGCGCGAACUGGUCUUCUUGAGUACGCACAACGUGGGCGGAAUUCGUGGUGUAGCGGUGAAAUGCUUAGAUAUCACGAAGAACUCCGAUUGCGAAGGCAGCUCACGGGAGCGCAACUGACGCUGAAGCUCGAAAGUGCGGGUAUCGAACAGGAUUAGAUACCCUGGUAGUCCGCACGGUAAACGAUGGAUGCCCGCUGUUGGCCUGAAUAGGUCAGCGGCCAAGCGAAAGCAUUAAGCAUCCCACCUGGGGAGUACGCCGGCAACGGUGCAACUCAAAGGAAUUGACGGA
Molecule: ribosomal RNA, 926 nt
Filed under: uncultured organism
Description: bacterial SSU rRNA
Rfam family: Bacterial small subunit ribosomal RNA
Source: RNAcentral